AAUCAACGCUGGCGGCAUGCCUAACACAUGCAAGUCGAGCGAGAAAGGGUAGCAAUACCUGAGUAAAGCGGCGCACGGGUGAGUAACACGUGGAUAACCUGCCUCAAAGUGGGGAAUAACACCGGGAAACCGGUGCUAAUACCGCAUAUUCUGACGAGAUCUGUGGAUUUUGCCAGGAAAGGAGCAAUUCGCUAUGAGAGGGGUCCGCGGCUGAUUAGCAGUUGGUGAGGUAACGGCUCACCAAGGCCACGAUCAGUAGCCGGUCUGAGAGGACGGUCGGCCACACUGGAACUGAGACACGGUCCAGACUCCUACGGGAGGCAGCAGUGGGGAAUUUUUCGCAAUGGGGGCAACCCUGACGAAGCAAUGCCGCGUGGAUGAUGAAGGCCCUCGCGGUCGUAAACUCCUGUCUAGUGGGACGAAAGUAUUCAGGGUGAAUAAUCCUGAGUAUUGACUGUACCGCUGGAGGAAG
RNAcentral lists this ribosomal RNA (472 nucleotides) under uncultured bacterium. RNAcentral's name for it is "partial 16S ribosomal RNA". It matches the Rfam family "Bacterial small subunit ribosomal RNA", at positions 32 to 490 of the family's 1533-position model. The record is from RNAcentral.